This is an RNA transcript of Choloepus didactylus (southern two-toed sloth), 3292 nucleotides long. It is a transcript of the gene named cilia and flagella associated protein 45, with no coding region annotated. NCBI's taxonomy places the organism in Eukaryota, Metazoa, Chordata, Mammalia, Pilosa, Megalonychidae. The transcript has 13 exons. The record is from RefSeq and is a predicted model, not a curated record.
UCUUGGUUGCUGUGGUAACGCGUCAACACCCAAAGCCUUGGUGGCGGCGCCGGCGGCCGAGGCGGCGGAGGCCUGGUGUCAGGGCGUGUGGCCGAGAUGCCGUUAAGCACAACUGGCGUCCUGAGCUCCUCUUCUACCACUUCCAACAGGUCAAGGAAUAGGACCUGCUAUCGGACCAAAGCCAUGAGCUCUGAGGUGGAUGAGAGCCUCUUCGGAGCGAGCAAGCCCCUGACACAGGCCCACAGUGACAGCCCCAUCGUGCUGCUCCGGGAUAAGCAUACCAUUCAGAAAACUCCCACUGCCCUGGGCCUGGACCGCAAGCCAGAGACCAUCCAGCUCAUCACCCGGGACAUGGUCCGGGAGCUCAUUGUUCCCACAGAAGAUCCUUCUGGGGAAUCCCUCGUCAUCACCCCUGAGGAGUUUGAGCGAAUCAAAUGGGCAUCCCACGUCCUGACCAGUGAAGAACUCGAGGCCAAAGAGCAGGCCUUCAAGAAGGAGAAGGAAGCCAUCAUGGAUGCAGUGACAACGUGCAAGAAGAUCAUGAAGCAGAAAGAAAUGGUGUGGAAGAACAACAAGAAGCUCAGUGACCUGGAGGAGGUGGCAAAAGAGAGGGCACAGAACCUCCUGCAGAGAGCCAACAAGCUGCGGAUGGAGCAGGAGGAGGAGCUCAAGGACAUGAGCAAGAUCAUCCUCAAUGCCAAGUGCCAUGCCAUUCGGGAUGCCCAAAUUCUGGAGAAGCAACUGAUCCAAAAAGAACUGGAAACAGAAGAGAAGCGUUUGGAUCAGAUGAUGGAAGUAGAGCGGCAGAAAUCCAUUCAAAGGCAGGAGGAGUUGGACAGGAAGAGGAGGGAGGAAAGAAUCCGAGGAAGACGGCACAUUGUGAAACAGAUGGAAAAGAACCAGGAGGAGCGAUCUCUGCUUGCUGAGCAGCGGGAGCAGGAGAAAGAACAGAUGCUAGAAUAUAUGGAGCAGCUCCAAGAGGAGGAUCUAAGGGACAUGGAACGAAGGCACCAGGAUAAAUUGAAGAUGCAAGCUGAGAUUAAGCGCAUCAAUGACGAGAACCAGAAACGGAAAGCAGAGAUGCUGGCUCAGGAGAAGCUGGCAGACCAGAUGGUGAUGGAGUUCACCAAGAAGAAGAUGGCUCGAGAAGCAGAGUUUGAGGCUGAGCAGGAGAGAACCCGGAGAGAGAAGGAGAAGGAGAUCACCCGCCUGAGGGCCAUGCAGGAGAAGGUCCAAGAUUACCGGGCAGAACAGGAUGCCUUGCGGGCCAAGCGCAACCAGGAGGUUGCAGACAGAGAGUGGCGCAGAAAGGAAAAGGAAAAUGCACAGAAGAAGAUGGAAACCGAGGCCGAGCUGCGGAAAAGUCGGCUAGAACAGGUGGCUUUCAAGGAGCACACUCUGGCCGUUCAGGUGCAACGGGACCGGGAUGAGUUCGAGAGGAUUCUUCGGGCCCAGCGAGAGCAGAUUGAGAAGGAGCGGCAGGACAAGGACAAAAAGGCUGCCCAGCGCUUACAGCAUGCCAAUGAGCUCCGGCGCCAGGUGCGCGAGAACCAGCAGAAGGAGGUGCAGGACCGCAUCGCUAUUUUCGAGGAGGGCCGGCGCCUCAAAGAGGAGGCCCAGAAGCGGCGUGAGCGCAUCGAUGACAUCAAGAAGAAAAAGAUUGAAGAGCUGAGAGCCACUGGCCUUCCUGAGAAGUACUGCCUUGAAGCUGAGCGCAAAGCUAACAUCCUGCCAGCCACCUCUGUGAAAUGACGGGGAGCCUCUGAGCCCUGGGGAUGCCUUUGGGGGACAGAUUCUGCCCAGUUUCUCGGACAGCCACAGCUUCCCCAGGCAUCUUCUCCACCUUCCCCACCAGUGAAGGCCGCUGCCCUGCCCAGCCCGGUGGGCGGCCCCACCAGCUGCGUUGGGAGGACAAUGUCAGUGCCAGUAACAGCAAGCCUCCUCCCUAUGGAAACUGAUACCUGCCUGGUACCUGCCUCUCUGGAAGACCUGAUAGCCUGCCUAGGAUGAGAGAGAAGACCCAGCAAUGGCACUGAGGCGGCUGGCCCCCUUCCGCAGCUGGCACACUGGCUCAGGUUCUAUCUGAACACCACCUGUUGCUCAGUUAAACCUGCAGGGACCAAGGAGUGAGUCCUUAUUUCAGGGGUCCCGCUUUUCCAGGAAAGCCAGAAAGAACCUAGGGCACUUGGAGUUUACCCAACUCCAUACCAAAGUCAUUCAUCUCAGGCCUGGGAGGAAUGAUCAGCUCUGGAAUGCAGAUCAAGAAGAAAGGGGGUUCUAUGACCAUUCCUAACCUCCAAGCCCCUGGAAAGAAAAAUGAGCCAAGUUGACAGGUUGAAAGCAAAGCAAACAUUUGGUCAGAACUCUGCUGGUGAAAAUGCAGGUCUGGGGACCUGGCAGUUCCCAAGGCCUAAAAGUAAGACCGUCUGACAGGCUUGGACAUAGGCAGUUAUCGGUUAUGUGAAUAGAUGUCUGGCUUUGGUGAAAGGAGCAUAUAGCUGUGUCUGAGCAGGUGAAAAUGGUCUGGGAGCGAAUCCCAGAGUUCUGUCCCUGGUGUUGCCAUGCCUGUCCUGUUCAUCCUGUCUCCCGCCAUUCCCUUAAUGGAUUCUCUGUCUUGGAAUUGGCCCCUGAUGCUCACCUCCAUCUGACUCAUCACAGGAGAAAUGAGGAGGGGUUUGCUUUCUUCUCUCAGGAUUCCUGAAAAGCCCCGUACAGUCUUCUGUGGGCUCCAUGGCUGGCCUGACUCAUCAGCAGGAACCUUGUUCUUAGAAGUGGAACCAUCCUGAGAGCUGGAUAGGCAGCUGGGGUCUGAAGCUACCUAAGUAUAUCUGGAUCUAUUAUCCCUCUACUACUCUUACUCAGGAAUGGAAGUAGGAAUAAUUACAGGGGAAAGUCCCUGGCUUUAAGUGGGGCUGGUGGGGUCAAACUAUAUGGCACUGGGGCCAGGGCAAACAGAGGACUUUGUGAACCCAGCUUGCAGAGUGGGGGUGGAAACAAAGAGAGAAAAUCUGUAUUCUUUGAGGACUCUAAUGGGCCCUGGGCUCAGGAAUGAUCGGCUUCAGUCCUGCUGCUAGAGGCUGGACCUUUGGGUGGGCAGUGCUCAGAGGUAGAAAUGAGCUGUGUUUCCCUUCGAAGCCACGGAAUCAAUUCAGGGGUGGCUGGGAGGCUGCAAAGGGGAAGAAUCGUGCUGGGGAAAUCUGGAAAUGUGUAGGAAGUACUGCUUGAUGCAUUGUCUUUGUCAACAUCUUAGAAGCUUGCAAAAAAAAAAGUGCUGAAAGCUAUUGACUUUGUU